Molecule: non-coding RNA, 395 nt
Organism: Pelobates cultripes (western spadefoot toad)
Lineage: Eukaryota; Metazoa; Chordata; Amphibia; Anura; Pelobatidae
Source: the annotation of a GenBank genome assembly
UUUCUAUGUCCAUCCAAUAAGAAUAAUUCUAACCCGAUCUUACGUUGCAGAAUUUUACUUUCCUAAUUAAGAUUUACUAUUUCUAAAUUACAUAAGCUAAUAUAUCUGGAUAAUUGGCUGGUAUUCUAUUUUUAAAGUUAAAAGUAAUCUAGAGUUCAUUGGUCCACCUGCAGAAAUGGAAUUACGAAUGUAAUAUAUUAUUAAAGAACCAUGACUCUCUAAUGUUGGAAUCACCAACUUUUAUCGAAGUAUAUUCUGCAUUUUAGUAAAAUUAAUUUAAUUAAAUUAAUUAAAACCAGCAUAAUUACUAGUUAUUUAGUAGAUUUUCUAUCUGAUUUGUAGAUAUGUCCCAGGAAUGAUGAGAGAAUUGUAUGAAAAUAGAAACUUUUUCAGAG